AUUGAACGCUGGCGGAAUGCUUUACACAUGCAAGUCGAACGGUAGAGGGGGCAACCCCUCGAGAGUGGCGAACGGGUGAGUAAUAUAUCGGAACGUGCCCAGUCGUGGGGGAUAACGUAGCGAAAGUUACGCUAAUACCGCAUACGAUCUAAGGAUGAAAGCGGGGGAUAGCAAGACCUCGCGCGAUUGGAGCGGCCUAUAUCAGAUUAGGUAGUUGGUGGGGUAAAGGCUCACCAAGACAACGAUCUGUAGCUGGUCUGAGAGGACGACCAGCCACACUGGAACUGAGACACGGUCCAGACUCCUACGGGAGGCAGCAGUGGGGAAUUUUGGACAAUGGACGCAAGUCUGAUCCAGCCAUUCCGCGUGCAGGAUGAAGGCCCUCGGGUUGUAAACUGCUUUUGUACGGAACGAAAAGGUCUCUCUUAAUACGGGGGGCUCAUGACGGUACCGUAAGAAUAAGCACCGGCUAACUACGUGCCAGCAGCCGCCGUAA
RNAcentral lists this ribosomal RNA (496 nucleotides) under uncultured bacterium. Its description in RNAcentral is "partial 16S ribosomal RNA". It matches the Rfam family "Bacterial small subunit ribosomal RNA", at positions 30 to 523 of the family's 1533-position model. The record is from RNAcentral.